AGUGAACGCUGGCGGCGUGCCUAAUACAUGCAAGUCGAACGAUGAAGUCCUAGCUUGCUAGGCUGGAUUAGUGGCGCGCGGGUGAGUAAUAUAUAGUUAAUCUGCCCUACACAGAGGAACAACAGUUGGAAACGACUGCUAAUACCUCAUACUCCUAUUUGACAUAAGUUAAAUAGGGAAAGUCUUUUCGGUGUAGGAUGAGACUAUAUCGUAUCAGCUAGUUGGUAAGGUAAUGGCUUACCAAGGCUAUGACGCGUAACUGGUCUGAGAGGAUGAUCAGUCACAUUGGAACUGAGACACGGUCCAAACUCCUACGGGAGACAGCAGUAAGGAAUAUUGCGCAAUGGGGGAAACCCUGACGCAGCAACGCCGCGUGGAGGAUGACACUUUUCGGAGCGUAAACUCCUUUUAUCAGGAAAGAAUAAUGACGGUACCUGAUGAAUAAGCACCGGCUAACUCCGUG
This 463-nucleotide ribosomal RNA is filed under the name uncultured bacterium. RNAcentral describes it as "partial 16S ribosomal RNA". It matches the Rfam family "Bacterial small subunit ribosomal RNA", at positions 29 to 507 of the family's 1533-position model. The record is from RNAcentral.